Molecule: long non-coding RNA, 2432 nt
Organism: Peromyscus eremicus (cactus mouse)
Lineage: Eukaryota; Metazoa; Chordata; Mammalia; Rodentia; Cricetidae
Exons: 2
Source: RefSeq, a predicted model, not a curated record
UGGAUUUAUGGGGCAGCUGGGAGAAAGAGAGAAUCUCAGAGAAGCCAAGCCCAGUGCCAGCUCCCUGGCAGAGAGUGCUGGAGACUGAGCUGUGAGCUUCACACGUGCUAGACAUGUGCUCAACCACUGAAUCGUGUUCCCUGCCAGGACCUUUGCAAAGAAAUGGGUUGUGAAACUGAACUCCCACCAACAUGUGAUUAACAGCUUUCUGAAUGGUACUGGCCUCCCUGGUUUUGUGCACUCAUUCAUAAAGCAAUUUAAAGGCCCACUCUUAGGGAUGUUUCAGGAAUGGCAGGUCUAGGGGAAGAUGCUGUGUCUUCGAAAGGGCUGGUACCUUUGGAGACAUCUUGACAUCCACCCGUCAGAUGAUUAAUUCCAGAAGGAAGAUAUGGAGGUUGACCACAGGCAAAGUGAAGUGAGGCCUGAAUGUGUGUGGCCUUGACUACUUUAUGUCUGGAGCCUGAUCACAGCCAUUUUGUGUCCCCAGAAGCCUGAGAAAUUGUUAAGGACACAAGUUUUUUUUCUGGUACUGCUCAUCCUUUUAUUUCUUCUUUGUUUUCCAUCAACUUGGCUGAGCCUGAAUGUGUCUUCUCACGGUACCACACUUCCAGUCAUGGAUUCCACACAGAGCUUCUCUCUCCUGUUGCAGUCUCCUGUGGCCUUGGCUCCCAUGACUUCUCCCCACGCCCAGGUUCACAUGGCCCAGUCUGCAGAAGAGGUGGCAAAACCAGGCUCCUUCCUACCAUGUGAUUUAGUCCCACACUGGGAACCAUGGAUUACAAAUCAAUACUUAGCUCCUAAUAGGGAAAAAGAAGGAGUAUUCCAUCGUUUGGGCUGGAUUCCAGCUAGGUCGAAGAAAUUCCACAUCAGUACUUACAUGAGCAUCCACUCAGUGCUAACCAUUGUAAUUACAUUACCUGCAGCUUGCUUGAUUAUUUAAUUUGGCCUGUUGAGUAAUUAAUUACUAUUUUAUCAGCACUGUCGUUCUGCGGACAAGCAUAAUCACAGAGGGUCUGUGUUGUACUGAAACACGCCUGUUCCUCUCGAUCUGAUGUAACUUAAUGUCUGGAGAUGCUGUUCCCACAGGCAUGUUGGGUCCUCUUUCUAGACAGUUGUGGCCUGAGUACUUGCUGGGAGCUGUCAGGAAUGAUGAAGACAUGAAUAGUUUUGGGACCAUCACCACUAGUGUCUCUGAAAAUAGAGACAGGAGUGCUUCCAACAGUGAAUAGCACAGUCGGAGUCUCCAGUGGUCAAAGCUACACAAAGUGGUGAAAAAGCUGUAUUUAAAAAUUUUCGCAGGCUACUAUUACUUGGAAGGAAGGGCUGACAGAAUAGAAUACUGUUCUACUGAAGACAUGGAUGCAGAUUUGGAGAACAUGCUUACAAUGUGUGUAUCCUACAGGACUGUUAUCCACAGUAUACAAAGAGCUCUUAAAACUCAACAAUUAUCAAGGAGAUAACCUAGUUAUAAAAAUGUCCCAAAGGCCUUAACAGACAUCUCAUCAAAGACAAAAGCAAACAUAUAUAUGAAAAGAUGUCCGGCAUUGUGUGUCAUUGGGAUGGUGCAAAUCAAAACACCGAGAUACAGUGCUACAGCCCCUAGAGUGGCUAAGAUCCCCAAUACUGACAAGACUGAAUGCUGGUGAGGGUGAGUAACUACAGGAACCCUCAUUCAUUGCUAAGGAGAGAAAAGAUGGCAUGGUCUCUGUGGGAGACACUUUGAUAAUAUCUUACAAAAGUGAAAUAAUCACCACACAACUUUUUAGUUAUGCCCAUAUUUACUUACCCAAAGAAGUUAACAAACUCAUGUACACACAAGAACCUCCUCAAGUUUGUUAAUAACAGUAUUAUUUAUUCAUAAUGAAAAUUAGAAGCAAGCAGGUUAUGUUUUAGUAGUUAGGUGCAUAACUAAACUUUUGUCUAUCUAGACAAUGGAAUAUGUUCAGUGCUAGAAAGUAAACAGCUGUAAGUGGUGAGAAAACAUAAGAAAUUUAGAUGGAGCCAAUCUAAAAAGUCUGUGUAAUGUAUCUAACAAUAUGACCUUCUGGGAAAGGUAACACCAAACAGUUAAUUAAAAAAACCAUUAAUUGCUGGAGAUAGAGGGGAGGGAAGCACUGAACAGGCAGAUCACAGGGGGUUUGAGUGACAGAACUCUCUACUCAGUUCACAUUACACAUUUGUUCAAGCCCAUAGGAUGUACAUGCCUUGAUCUCAGUUAUGGAUGCAUGGAUGCUUCAGUUGGGUUCAUCAGUGGUAGUACUACUAUGGUGCAGGAUGCUGACAAUGGUAGAGACCACCUAUGUGAGCACAGGAGAAGCAUAGGAACUUUUUGUACCUUAUUCACUUUGUAGGUGAAGCUAAAAUUACUCUAAAAGUGAAAAACACCAAGUUAAUGGGCACAUAACUGAAUAAAAGCACAACAGCCACUUCAA